Molecule: ribosomal RNA, 484 nt
Filed under: uncultured bacterium
Lineage: Bacteria
Description: partial 16S ribosomal RNA
Rfam family: Bacterial small subunit ribosomal RNA
Source: RNAcentral
AUUGAACGCUGGCGGCAGGCCUAACACAUGCAAGUCGAGCGGAUGAAGGGAGCUUGCUCCUGGAUUCAGCGGCGGACGGGUGAGUAAUGCCUAGGAAUCUGCCUGGUAGUGGGGGAUAACGUCCGGAAACGGGCGCUAAUACCGCAUACGUCCUGAGGGAGAAAGUGGGGGAUCUUCGGACCUCACGCUAUCAGAUGAGCCUAGGUCGGAUUAGCUAGUUGGUGGGGUAAAGGCCUACCAAGGCGACGAUCCGUAACUGGUCUGAGAGGGUGAUCAGUCACACUGGAACUGAGACACGGUCCAGACUCCUACGGGAGGCAGCAGUGGGGAAUAUUGGACAAAGGGCGAAAGCCUGAUCCAGCCAUGCCGCGUGUGUGAAGAAGGUCUUCGGAUUGUAAAGCACUUUAAGUUGGGAGGAAGGGCAGUAAGUUAAUACCUUGCUGUUUUGACGUUACCAACAGAAUAAGCACCGGCUAACUUCGUG